UUCCCCCGGAGGAGGGCUGGGUGGAAAAUCUUCAGUUUACGUUUCUGUCUGUUCCGCCGCUGGUCCAACGGCCAGCAGCACCCACUUUUUCAAUGAAAGAGCAGUUUCCCUUUCCUCCGAGUUGCAAGGCUCGUGGGUUGACGAUGAGCUCGACUGCCUCCUCAUUCUCACCCACGACGCCCCCUUUCGCCAGUGGUCAAGAGGUAGCGGUUCGGAGACACAAUGCCUCUCCACACGUCUCUGGCCAGUUCCUCCGGGAACACAGGGAGUGUGGCCGUGAUGACUCAGAAUGCGAUGCUUUCUGGGCCGUCCGACACAACUCCCCAUCGCUGCACCACUGCGGGUAUAUCGACUGUCCCUUUGGUGCCACUUGUACGGAGUUUGGGAGCAUGGCUUGCGCUGCCCAACCCGUCACGCUGGCUCAUUCGGACGGUCCGACUCGGAUACGCGAUUCAGUUUGCCCAGCGACCUCCCAAGUUCAAUGGCAUUCCUGAGACUUCGGUGGCAGUCUGGGACGCCUCUGUCUUGUGCGAGGAGAUUGCUGUCCUGCUGGCGAACGAUGCAAUUGAGCCAGUCCCUCCAGCCAAGAUGAGGACAGGGUUUUACAGCCCUUACUUUAUCGUACCCAAGAACAGUUGUGGCCUUCAACCUAUCCUGGAUCUGCGAGUCUUGAAUCGGGCCCUGCACAAGCUCCCGUUCAAGAUGUUUACGCAGAAAUGCAUUAUCAAAUGCAUUCAGUCCCAGGACUGGUUUGCAGCGAUUAACCUGAAAGACGCUUACUUUCAUGUCUUGAUCCUCCCUCGCCACAGACCGUUUCUGCGGUUUGCAUUCGAGGGUCAGGCAUGGCAGUACAACGUCCUCCCCUUCGGGCUCUCCCUGUCCCCCCAUGUCCUCACGAAGGUUGCAGAGGGUGCCCUUGCCCCACUCUGGGAAGUGGGCAUCAGGAUCCUCAACUAUCUCGACGACUGGCUCAUUAUGGCCCGGUCCCGAGAGGAGUUGUGUGAUCUCAGGGACUUUGCCCUUAGAACAAGUGUCCCGGCAUGUUGUCACAACAGAUGUCUCCAACAUGGGCUGGGGCGCAACAUGCAAUGGGCAGGAAGCUUCAGGGUCCUGGACAGGACCUUGACUGCUUUGGCACAUCAACUGUCUGGAGUUGCUGGCAGUGCAUCUAGCUUACGGUGGUUUCGGCCACUGAUGCUAGACAAGCACGUGUUGGUCCACACGGACAACACUGUGGCUGUUUCGUACAUCAACCGACAGGGCGGUCUACGAUCAUGUCACAUGUUUCAACUCGCCCACCAUCUCCUCCUCUGGAGUCAAACGCAGCUCAAGUCGCUGCGCGCUAUCCACAUCCCGGGGGAGCUCAAUCGUGCAGCGGAUGUGCUCUCACGACAGCUCACUUUCCCUGGGAAAGGGCUACUCCAUCCCCAGACGGUCCAGCUGAUCUGGAGUCGAUUCAGGGAAGCCCAGGUAGACCUGUUUGCUUCCCACGAGUCCUCCCACUGCCAGCUGUACUAUUCCCUGUCCCAGGGCCCCCUGGUCAUGGAUGCACUGGCACACAGCUGGCCUCAGGCUAUACGCAAGUAUGCGUUUCCCCCAGCGAGCCUGCUCACACAGACACUGUGCAAGGUCAGGGAGGACAAGGAACAGGUCCUGUUGGUUGCACCUUACUGGCCCACCCGGACCUGGUUCUCAGAACUCAUGCUCCUCAUGACAACCCCUCCCUGGCACAUCCCCCUGAGAAGGGACCUCCUCUCUCAGGAGCUUGGCACCAUUUGGCACCCACGUCCAGAUCUUUGGAACCUCCACGUGUGACUUCUGGACGGGACGCGGCAAACCUAUGUGAUCUGCCACUGGCGGUGGUAGACACUAUCACUCAGGCUAGAGCCCCCUCUACGAGGCAGGCCAAUGCUCUGAAGUGGAGUCUGUUCACGAAUUGGUGUUCUUCUCACCAAGAAGACCCCCGGAGAUGCUCGGUCAGAGUCGUGCUUUCUUUCCUGCAAGAAGGUUGGAGCGUAGGCUGUCACCCUCUGCCUUGAAAGUGUAUGUGGCUGCCAUUGCAGCCCAUCAAGAUGUAGUGGACGGCCAGUCCCUGGGGAGGCAUGACCUGAACGUUAGGUUCCUGAGGGGUGCCAGAACGUUAAAUCCUCCUAGGACACCCCUGAUUCCCUUCUGGGACCUCUCUAUUGUUCUGGCUGGACUUCAGAGGGGUCCCUUUGAGCCGCUGGAUUCAGUCGAGCUUAAGCCUCUGGAGUCUAGGGGUUUUUUUGGGGCCUGGAGA
This is a long non-coding RNA of Cyprinus carpio (common carp), 2281 nucleotides long. The record is from Ensembl. NCBI's taxonomy places the organism in Eukaryota, Metazoa, Chordata, Actinopteri, Cypriniformes, Cyprinidae.